RNAcentral lists this ribosomal RNA (646 nucleotides) under uncultured Pseudomonadales bacterium. RNAcentral describes it as "bacterial SSU rRNA". It matches the Rfam family "Bacterial small subunit ribosomal RNA", at positions 140 to 781 of the family's 1533-position model. The record is from RNAcentral. Lineage: Bacteria; Pseudomonadati; Pseudomonadota; Gammaproteobacteria; Pseudomonadales.
GGGAUAACGUCCGGAAACGGGCGCUAAUACCGCAUACGUCCUGAGGGAGAAAGUGGGGGAUCUUCGGACCUCACGCUAUCAGAUGAGCCUAGGUCGGAUUAGCUAGUUGGUGGGGUAAAGGCCUACCAACGCGACGAUCCGUAACUGGUCUGAGAGGAUGAUCAGUCACACUGGAACUGAGACACGGUCCAGACUCCUACGGGAGGCAGCAGUGGGGAAUAUUGGACAAUGGGCGAAAGCCUGAUCCAGCCAUGCCGCGUGUGUGAAGAAGGUCUUCGGAUUGUAAAGCACUUUAAGUUGGGAGGAAGGGCAGUAAGUUAAUACCUUGCUGUUUUGACGUUACCAACAGAAUAAGCACCGGCUAACUUCGUGCCGGCAGCCGCGGUAAUACGAAGGGUGCAAGCGUUAAUCGGAAUUACUGGGCGUAAAGCGCGCGUAGGUGGUUCAGCAAGUUGGAUGUGAAAUCCCCGGGCUCAACCUGGGAACUGCAUCCAAAACUACUGAGCUAGAGUACGGUAGAGGGUGGUGGAAUUUCCUGUGUAGCGGUGAAAUGCGUAGAUAUAGGAAGGAACACCAGUGGCGAAGGCGACCACCUGGACUGAUACUGACACUGAGGUGCGAAAGCGUGGGGAGCAAACAGGAUUAG